GCCUUCAUAGCUCAGAGGAUAGAGCCGAAGUUUCCUAAACUUUGUGAGUCGCAGGUUCGAGUCCUGCUGAGGGCA
RNAcentral lists this transfer RNA (75 nucleotides) under Anaerolineae bacterium. RNAcentral describes it as "tRNA-Arg". It matches the Rfam family "tRNA". Rfam says of the family: Transfer RNA (tRNA) molecules are approximately 80 nucleotides in length. Their secondary structure includes four short double-helical elements and three loops (D, anti-codon, and T loops). Lineage: Bacteria; Bacillati; Chloroflexota; Anaerolineae. The record is from RNAcentral.